CACGUAGUUAGCCGGGGCUUCUUCUUCAGGUACCGUCAUUUUCUUCCCUGCUGACAGGGCUUUACGCGCCGAGGCGCUUCUUCACCCACGCGGCGUCGCUGCAUCAGGGCUCCCCCCAUUGUGCAAUAUCCCCCACUGCUGCCUCCCGUAGGAGUCGGGGCCGUGUCUCAGUCCCAGUGUGGCCGUCCGCCCUCUCAGGCCGGCUACUGAUCGUCGCUUUGGUAGGCCGUUACCCUGCCCAACUGGCUAAUCAGACGCGGGCCCAUCCUGUACCACCGGAGUUUUCAGGGAAAAGCCAUGCGGCUUCCCCCGUUAUGCGGUAUUAGCACCUAUUUCUAAGUGUUAUCCCCCUGUACAGGCCAGGUUGCCCACGCGUUACUCACCCGUCCGCCACUCAUGCACAGGUUUUCCGGCCGAAGCCUUCCUUCCCGUACACCCGUUCGACUUGCAUGUGUUAGGCACGCCGCCAGCGUUCAUCCUGAGCCAGGAUCAAACUCU
This 498-nucleotide ribosomal RNA is filed under the name uncultured Lachnospiraceae bacterium. RNAcentral describes it as "partial 16S ribosomal RNA". Lineage: Bacteria; Bacillati; Bacillota; Clostridia; Lachnospirales; Lachnospiraceae. The record is from RNAcentral.